RNAcentral lists this non-coding RNA (46 nucleotides) under Trichobilharzia regenti. The record is from RNAcentral. Lineage: Eukaryota; Metazoa; Platyhelminthes; Trematoda; Strigeidida; Schistosomatidae.
GUACAGCCGAUGAGUCCCAAAUAAGGACGAAACAACUUUCCAGUAC